Molecule: unclassified non-coding RNA, 253 nt
Filed under: uncultured Gammaproteobacteria bacterium
Lineage: Bacteria; Pseudomonadati; Pseudomonadota; Gammaproteobacteria
Description: contains 16S-23S intergenic spacer region
Rfam family: Bacterial small subunit ribosomal RNA
Source: RNAcentral
UACAGAGGGUGUGAGCGUUAAUCGGUAUUACUGGGCGUAAAGCGCGCGUAGGCGGUUUGGUAAGUCGGAUGUGAAAGCCCUGGGCUUAACCUGGGAAUUGCAUUCGAUACUGCCUGACUAGAGCGUAGUAGAGGGAAGCGGAAUUCCGGGUGUAGCGGUGAAAUGCGUAGAGAUCCGGAGGAACAUCAGUGGCGAAGGCGGCUUCCUGGACUAACACUGACGCUGAGGUGCGAAAGCGUGGGGAGCAAACGGG